This 497-nucleotide ribosomal RNA is filed under the name uncultured bacterium. RNAcentral's name for it is "partial 16S ribosomal RNA". It matches the Rfam family "Bacterial small subunit ribosomal RNA", at positions 28 to 507 of the family's 1533-position model. The record is from RNAcentral.
GAUCAACGCUGGCGGAGUGUAUAAUACAGGCAAGUCGAGCGAACAGACGAGGAGCUUGCUCCUCUGACGUUAGCGGCGGACGGGUGAGUAACACGUGGAUAACCUACCUAUAAGACUGGGAUAACUUCGGGAAACCGGAGCUAAUACCGGAUAAUAUAUUGAACCGCAUGGUUCAAUAGUGAAAGACGGUUUUGCUGUCACUUAUAGAUGGAUCCGCGCCGCAUUAGCUAGUUGGUAAGGUAACGGCUUACCAAGGCGACGAUGCGUAGCCGACCUGAGAGGGUGCUCGGCCACACUGGAACUGAGACACGGUCCAGACUCCUACGGGAGGCAGCAGUAGGGAAUCUUCCGCAAUGGGCGAAAGCCUGACGUAGCAACGCCGCGUGAGUGAUGAAGGUCUUCGGAUCGUAAAUCUCUGUUAUUAGGGAAGAACAAAUGUGUAAGUAACUAUGCACGUCUUGACGGUACCUAAUCAGAAAGCCACGGCUACCUACGUG